Molecule: ribosomal RNA, 401 nt
Filed under: uncultured bacterium
Lineage: Bacteria
Description: bacterial SSU rRNA
Rfam family: Bacterial small subunit ribosomal RNA
Source: RNAcentral
AUUGAACGCUGGCGGCAUGCCUUACACAUGCAAGUCGAACGGCAGCACGGGAGCAAUCCUGGUGGCGAGUGGCGAACGGGUGAGUAAUAUAUCGGAACGUGCCCAGUCGUGGGGAUAACGUAGCGAAAGCUACGCUAAUACCGCAUACGAUCUAUGGAUGAAAGCGGGGGAUCGCAAGACCUCGCGCGAUUGGAGCGGCCGAUAUCAGAUUAGGUAGUUGGUGAGGUAAAGGCUCGCCAAGCCGACGAUCUGUAGCUGGUCUGAGAGGACGACCAGCCACACUGGGACUGAGACACGGCCCAGACUCCUACGGGAGGCAGCAGUGGGGAAUUUUGGACAAUGGGCGCAAGCCUGAUCCAGCAAUGCCGCGUGCAGGAUGAAGGCUCGGUUGUAACUGCUUU